CGGGACGGGUGAGUAACGCGUGGAUAACCUGCCUCACACAGGGGGAUAACAGUUAGAAAUAGGUGCUAAUACCGCAUAAGCGCACAGCUUCGCAUGAAGCGGUGUGAAAAACUCUGGUGGUAUACGAUGGUUCCGCGUCUGAUUAGCUAGUUGGUGGGGUAAUGGCCUACCAAGGCAACGAUCAGUAGCCGGCCUGAGAGGGUGAACGGCCACAUUGGGACUGAGACACGGCCCAAACUCCUACGGAAGGCAGCAG
Molecule: ribosomal RNA, 256 nt
Filed under: uncultured bacterium
Lineage: Bacteria
Description: partial 16S ribosomal RNA
Rfam family: Bacterial small subunit ribosomal RNA
Source: RNAcentral